This 253-nucleotide ribosomal RNA is filed under the name uncultured bacterium. Its description in RNAcentral is "partial 16S ribosomal RNA". It matches the Rfam family "Bacterial small subunit ribosomal RNA", at positions 524 to 776 of the family's 1533-position model. The record is from RNAcentral.
UACGUAGGGGGCAAGCGUUGUCCGGAAUCAUUGGGCGUAAAGCGCGUGUAGGCGGCCCGGUAAGUCGGCUGUGAAAGUCCAGGGCUCAACCCUGGGAUGCCGGUCGAUACUGCCGGACUAGAGUUCGGAAGAGGCGAGUGGAAUUCCCGGUGUAGCGGUGAAAUGCGCAGAUAUCGGGAGGAACACCUAUGGCGAAGGCAGCUCGCUGGGACGUUACUGACGCUGAGACGCGAAAGCGUGGGGAGCAAACAGG